AACGAGCGCUGGCGGCGCGCUUAACACAUGCAAGUCGAACGAGAAGGCGUAGCAAUACGCUUGUACAGUGGCGAACGGGUGAGUAAUACGUGGGCGACCUACCCUCGAGUGGGGAAUAACCCGCCGAAAGGCGGGCUAAUGCCGCGUACGCUUCCAUCUUUAUGGAGGUGGAAGGAAAGCCGUGCCGUGGGCACGGCGCUCAAGGAUGGGCUCACGUCCUAUCAGCUUGUUGGAGGGUAACGGCCUACCAAGGCUCCGACGGGUAGCUGGUCUGAGAGGACGAUCAGCCACACUGGCACUGCGACACGGGCCAGACCCCUACGGGAGGCAGCAGUGAGGAAUAUUGCGCAAUGGGCGAAAGCCUGACGCAGCGA
RNAcentral lists this ribosomal RNA (374 nucleotides) under uncultured bacterium. Its description in RNAcentral is "bacterial SSU rRNA". It matches the Rfam family "Bacterial small subunit ribosomal RNA", at positions 29 to 394 of the family's 1533-position model. The record is from RNAcentral.